UCUUCGGAGAGUUUGAUCCUGGCUCAGGAUGAACGCUGGCGGCGUGCCUAAUACAUGCAAGUCGAGCGAACUGAUUAGAAGCUUGCUUCUAUGACGUUAGCGGCGGACGGGUGAGUAACACGUGGG
This 126-nucleotide ribosomal RNA is filed under the name Priestia megaterium. Its description in RNAcentral is "partial 16S ribosomal RNA". It matches the Rfam family "Bacterial small subunit ribosomal RNA", at positions 1 to 121 of the family's 1533-position model. The record is from RNAcentral. Lineage: Bacteria; Bacillati; Bacillota; Bacilli; Caryophanales; Bacillaceae.